Molecule: ribosomal RNA, 253 nt
Filed under: uncultured bacterium
Lineage: Bacteria
Description: partial 16S ribosomal RNA
Rfam family: Bacterial small subunit ribosomal RNA
Source: RNAcentral
GACAGAGGGUGCAAACGUUGUUCGGAAUUACUGGGCGUAAAGCGCGUGUAGGCUGCUUCGAAAGUCAGGUGUGAAAGCCCUGGGCUCAACCCAGGAAGUGCACUUGAAACUUCGAGGCUUGAGUCCCGGAGAGGAUCGCGGAAUUCCCGGUGUAGCGGUGAAAUGCGCAGAUAUCAGGAAGAACACCCGUGGCUAAGGCGGCUCUCUAGUACGGUACUGACGCUGAGACGCGAAAGCGUGGGGAGCGAACAGG